Molecule: non-coding RNA, 751 nt
Organism: Parasteatoda tepidariorum (common house spider)
Lineage: Eukaryota; Metazoa; Arthropoda; Arachnida; Araneae; Theridiidae
Source: RefSeq, a predicted model, not a curated record
UUACAGGAAAAAAUUAUGAACCAUAAGGACUCUCCUCAUCAAUCUUAAGGAAAUAGAAUGUUAUUUUUCUUUUACAAUUUGACAUUAAUUUAAUUUUAUCUCUCCUCAGUAAGUGGCGUUUGACCUCAUUAAAUAUAUUUUAUCUCUUUUAAGUAUGGUUUAAUAGCAACAAAAACAAUCAACAAUGUUGCCUCAAAGUAUGUAGAUCUACUUUCCGGAGUACAUAAAAGCCUUCACAUUAGAACGUGACUUAGAAUUUAAGAUAAAUAUUUUCACUGAGCUAUAAUUAUAAAAGACAGGCGUUCGAUCGUCAGUGGCGGCUGGAAGCUCAUCCAUCUUGUCUAAGAAGAAAGCCGGCUUGUGCGCAAUGCUGACCACAUUGCCAUACUCGUUAUAUAUACAGAUACACAGAGAGAGAGGGGGAGCUAGACAUCGGCUAAUUUGCCAAUCCGCAAAUUACUUUACGAUAAGAAGAUAAGUAAAUAAGAAAAGUUAAAAGCUACUGUCUUACUACCAGGAGAAGGCGACUGAAUCCAUAAUAGAGGUUACAUGAAAAUUUAAACCAAAAAAGGAUCGAGGAAGUGAUAACUGGCGGGAGAAAAACUUGUCGUCAAUGACAAUUCUGUCGCAAUCAAUGUAAUUCUGCUCAUUCCCAAGCGGUAGUAAACUGCUACUAAGUCAAUCGUUUUCUUACAACGGGUGGAAAAUUAUGUGUUAAAACAACGUAUAAUAAAUUGUUGUUGAAAAUGUU